Molecule: long non-coding RNA, 2886 nt
Organism: Athalia rosae (coleseed sawfly)
Lineage: Eukaryota; Metazoa; Arthropoda; Insecta; Hymenoptera; Athaliidae
Exons: 9
Source: RefSeq, a predicted model, not a curated record
GAAGGUGAACUACAAGAAGUUCUAGCACGCUAAUAAUAGUUGAAUAGUUUUACACAAUACUAGACUGGCUGCAAGCAUUAUAAGAGGAUAAGUGCCAAAAAAAACUAUGCUACAAUGUUGAAGAGCGAUUUUCUUCAACUACAUCUAUAUAUAAAUUACGUGGUGCAAUUAAACAUAAAUUUAAUUAAUACCAGCGUCGUUUGAUUCGCGUUCAUCCAACCGGCGUUUUACGUGGAUGCAAUGCGUUACAUUGUACAGUGUGCUAUAGCUUUGUAUUGACAUCUUAUGUAUCGUUUGACUUCGCACAUAGUUCAAAAAUAGUAUUUAUAUUUAGUUAUUCGUGUGGAUAUGUGAUACGUAUACAUUCGGUGGUGUAGAUGUAUGAGUCGCGCUUGGUGUCGCGGAGAAAGCCGCGGAGAGAUUGCGAGCUGACGCUCGCGACGGUCGCCUUUCGUUUAUUCAAACAAGAUAACAUUAGCGAUGUAUUAAUACGGUUAUCAUAAUCGUACUUACUGGAGUGAUGUGAUAACGGUGGAGUGGGAGUAGAAUGCCCUUCAGAAAAUACGCAUCACUUUCGUUCGAGGAAUGCGGUAUAAAGUGGGAUCUUCGAAGCGAUCCGUUUCGGUAAUUGACUGGCGUGCUGCAGCAUCUACGCAGCACCUGCACCAGCAGCACCUUCAGAUCGAACGGUGCCAGAGGCCCGACGAAACGUAGGUUGACCGAAGCCAGAGGCACGUAGUAAGGCGCAGUCAAGGGUUGAAGGUUCGGUUGACCUUCGCUAUCGGGGCAGAACACGGAAUGGGGGGGAAAAAAUAAAUACAGAGAUGUGGUAGAAUUGGGUGAAGCGAAAUGGACCGAGGUGAUGAAAAGUUGAUAACGCCUUCAAAUAUUCAGAGCACGUUCCCAACAAAUUUAUCAUCAUGAACAAAUCUCUGCUGACUUCACCACUUUUAAGUGUAUUAAAUUUAUCUGAAAGAGAACAACAACAAAUCCAUGCGAUUUGCCAACGAGAGAAGGUCUGAGGUUUUCCAAUAUGAAAAAAAAGAGAGGACAUGAUGACGAGUUUUGAUGAAUCAAGCGGUGAUUAUGGGCUGUACGAAAUAAUUCUCCUAAUUUCACGUCUUUCAAAAUCGCGUCUACAGAACUGAUAUAAAAAAAAUUAAAAACACACUAACUCUAUUUAAUCUUUUAGACAAAUAUACUCUUGUAAGAUUGUCACGACUAGGACUAUCAGAAGCGUAUCAAAAAAUCUGCGAUGAUUUAUUCGGAUGACGCAAGCCGUGCAACGUAGUACGUCAAAAACGGGAAAUUGUUCCAAUGAAGUCACGGGGUUUAUAAUUAUUAUUGUUGUUGUUAUCAUUAUUAGUAUUCUCGAGAUGAUUGAGCCCUGAUGUACUUGUAAAUUUCGAUCGACGAUUAAUCGCAGAUUAGGAUAUGAGACUAUCAACUAGGUGGAUGUGAUAACUUGAAGAUCAGUGAUUAACCCAACUGAUUAUUACACACUUCAAUUUUUAUGCGACUGUAUGUUAAAUAUUUUCUGCAUCACAACAAUAUCAGAUAUCAGAACGUUAUUUUAUCCUCAAACAGUGGAAAAAUCGGAAUUAUAAUGAAGGUAAAAUGUGAUCAGACCUACAGAGAACGAAUUUCGGUAUGAAUGUUGGGAAGUUUCAAAACGGGGGAGGGGGAAAAAAUUAAAUAAAAAAAUCUUUCUCGAAUGUAAAAUAGUAGAUUAAUUUGCGACACAGUUACACACUCUGCGUCUAUUAUCUCCACCUGACGUCAGAAGUGUAUUAAUUAUAAUUUGAGCAAUCCAUUUACUCAAGUAAAACGGGUAAAGUAAUUAUGUGGAGUUGAGAAAAGCUCACAGUUUCGAAUUGACUACAUUGAAGUAGAGAGUUGAGUUUGUCGAAGAUGAUGUUUAGAGACCUCCUCUAGCGGUUGAAAUCGUAUGCAUAAUGUCGGCUAGUGGGUCGGCGAGUGGUCUUUCACCAAGAAGUCGUUGCCUAUCCAGAUCCCCUUGCAUCUGGGUGAAUGCAUGAUCUCCCAGGCUGACCGAAGUCUCCAACUGACUAGAUAUUUCUACAGUUUCAUCCCCUGGAAAAUAAAAUACGAUAAAUUACCAUGGAGGGCAUGUUGUGGAUUGUCAAUGAUUCGGAUCUGUCUAUCUGGCAGAAGUGGUUCCCCGUCCAUUCCACCCACGUCACUCGGUAGUUGCCAACAAGCGUUUUCUUGUUCCGAAGAUGUCCUUGGGAAAUAAAGAGGCUCGAUAUGUUACUUACUGAGUGCAAUGUGGGCGCCUGCGUCAGGUGGGUAAUUUCGUCUAACGGAAUUAAUAACAGAGGCUGGCAGGGAAAUGGGCUUGUCGAAUGGUGCGAGGUCUCUCCUGGUAAAUUGGAGUAAUCGGUGAAUCUGUGCUGAAUGGGAUAGUCUGACCAUCUUUUCAGCGUCCCCAGCUCCACCACUUCCGGAGCCACACCCAAUGGUUCCAUCAGCCUCAUUCAGCUGGAAAAAGAAACAAGCCAAAUAUUAAAACCAGAAAAAAAUCGGACUGGUAGAUCGGACUGCAAGAGUAUGCUGAGAUUCCGUUUCUGAAGACGCUGCACAAGCUGAACGUAGGUUUUUAAUUGACUCGCAAAACGGGAUUUUGCGGACGAACUGCAGUGCUGUACGUACGUACCCUUUAGGAAUGCAGUAUAACCGGUAGAGCUAUUAUUAUCCGUAUAUAAAUACCCGCGUAAGAAUCUAUAAAAGGGCUCUUCAAUCGACCAAACAAUAUUUAGGCAAUUUCCAUCUUUGCACGAAAUUGGAAUUUAUGAUUUAUACCGACAUUAUGCCAUUGUACUAUAAAUAACACAAAUAAACGAAUAGGUUUUGUCGAAAUUUUAA